RNAcentral lists this long non-coding RNA (635 nucleotides) under Rattus norvegicus (Norway rat). RNAcentral describes it as "long non-coding RNA NONRATT023897". Lineage: Eukaryota; Metazoa; Chordata; Mammalia; Rodentia; Muridae. The record is from RNAcentral.
AUUGAGGUCUACAAUUCUCCUGUGAGGCUCCACUCUGGGCGAUGGGAUUCCCUUGAAGUGAGGAGACAGUGUGGAAAGAUGAGGCUGUCUGUCUCCAGCCCUCCCGUUACCUCUGCCCAUCAGACUUCUUGUGAGGCUAGCCCGUAUCAGAUCCUCUUGGGCCUCAUAGGCUAGGAGGCUGCCCGUGGAAGGCAAUGAAAAGGCUGGACUUUCCUCACUUGGUAGAACAUCCUGGGGGUUGUCCAGACAUUACAACUGGCUUUCUGCACAGGAGCCCAGAUGAGUAAACUUGAGGCCAAGGCAGAGAGCCACAGCCACGGUUUCCAGGUCAGGGCAGUGGCUUGGGACCAUCCCAGGGCCACAUCAAGCUAGCAUCCUCUUUGUCCAUCUUCUGUGGGGUCUCAUCCCCUCCUUGUACUUUUAUUCAGAGAGGCAGUCCUGCUGCCAUCCACAACCUGCUACCCUGGAGCUGCAGCGGGGGUCAGGGAAGCCUUUGUCCCUGCAUCCCCUGCAUCCCCCUGCUGGAGGCCCACCACAAUGGCUCCUCCUACUCCUAAUUUUAAAAAGUGCACAUGUAUAAACGUUUUGCAUAGGCGUGUGUGUGCACCAUGUGCUUUCCUGGUACCCGAGGAGGC